UACGUAGGGUGCAAGCGUUGUCCGGAAUUAUUGGGCGUAAAGAGCUCGUAGGCGGUUUGUCGCGUCUGCCGUGAAAGUCCGGGGCUCAACUCCGGAUCUGCGGUGGGUACGGGCAGACUAGAGUGAUGUAGGGGAGACUGGAAUUCCUGGUGUAGCGGUGAAAUGCGCAGAUAUCAGGAGGAACACCGAUGGCGAAGGCAGGUCUCUGGGCCAUUAACUGACGCUGAGGAGCGAAAGCAUGGGGAGCGAACAGG
RNAcentral lists this ribosomal RNA (254 nucleotides) under uncultured bacterium. RNAcentral describes it as "partial 16S ribosomal RNA". It matches the Rfam family "Bacterial small subunit ribosomal RNA", at positions 524 to 776 of the family's 1533-position model. The record is from RNAcentral.